GCUUAGAGUUUGAUCCUGGCUCAGGAUGAACGCUGGCGGCGUGCUUAACACAUGCAAGUCGAACGGUCUCUUCGGAGAUAGUGGCGGACGGGUGAGUAACGCGUGAGAAUCUGCCUUUAGGUUCGGGACAACAGUUGGAAACGACUGCUAAUACCGAAUGUGUCGCAAGAUGAAAGAUUUAUUGCCUAAAGAUGAGCUCGCGUCUGAUUAGCUAGUUGGUGGGGUAAAAGCGUACCAAGGCGACGAUCAGUAGCUGGUCUGAGAGGAUGAUCAGCCACACUGGGACUGAGACACGGCCCAGACUCCUACGGGAGGCAGCAGUGGGGAAUUUUCCGCAAUGGGCGAAAGCCUGACGGAGCAACGCCGCGUGAGGGAGGAAGGCUUUUGGGUUGUAAACCUCUUUUCUCAAGGAAGAUAAUGACGGUACUUGAUGAAUCUGCAUCGGCUAACUCCGUGCCAGCAGCCGCGGUAAUACGGAGGAUGCAAGCGUUAUCCGGAAUAAUUGGGCGUAAAGCGUUCGUAGGUGGUUUUGCAAGUCUGCUGUUAAAGCGUGUAGCUUAACUACAUAAUGGCGGUGGAAACUGCAAAACUAGAGUGCGUUCGGGGCAGAGGGAAUUCCUGGUGUAGCGGUGAAAUGCGUAGAUAUCAGGAAGAACACCGGUGGCGAAGGCGCUCUGCUAGGCCGCAACUGACACUGAGGGACGAAAGCUAGGGGAGCGAAUGGGAUUAGAUACCCCAGUAGUC
This 744-nucleotide ribosomal RNA is filed under the name uncultured cyanobacterium. RNAcentral's name for it is "bacterial SSU rRNA". It matches the Rfam family "Bacterial small subunit ribosomal RNA", at positions 1 to 795 of the family's 1533-position model. The record is from RNAcentral. Lineage: Bacteria; Bacillati; Cyanobacteriota.